This 632-nucleotide ribosomal RNA is filed under the name fungal endophyte. Its description in RNAcentral is "eukaryotic LSU rRNA". The stretch from base 182 to 335 matches the Rfam family "5.8S ribosomal RNA". Lineage: Eukaryota; Fungi. The record is from RNAcentral.
CAUUAAAGAGUUCUAUAACUCCCAAACCCAUGUGAACAUACCUAACGUUGCCUCGGCAGGUCGCACCUACCUUGUAGCACCCUACCCUGUAGGGCCUACCCGGGAGGUGCGGGUAAGCCUGCCGGCGGCCCACCAAACUCUGUUUGAUAUUGAAUUCUGAACCUAUAACUAAAUAAGUUAAAACUUUCAACAACGGAUCUCUUGGUUCUGGCAUCGAUGAAGAACGCAGCGAAAUGCGAUAAGUAAUGUGAAUUGCAGAAUUCAGUGAAUCAUCGAAUCUUUGAACGCAUAUUGCGCCCAUUAGUAUUCUAGUGGGCAGGACCGUUCGAGCGUCAUUUCAACCCUUAAGCCUUCGUUGCUUAGUGUUGGGAGCCUACGGCAACGUAGCUCCUCAAAGUUAGUGGCGGAGUUGGUUCACACUCUAGACGUAGUAAUUUUUUAUCUCGCCUAUUAGUUGGACUAAUCCCCUGCCGUAAAACCCCUAAUUUAUCAAGGUUGACCUCGAAUCGGUUCAGACAAACUCGCUAAAUUGAAGCAUCUUAGUCAGCGAAGGAAAAGAAACCAACAGGGAUUGCCCUAGUAACGGCGAGUGAAGCGGCAACAGCUCAAAUUUGAAAUCUGGCCCUCGGGUC